CACGAUUUUUCCGCCAAUUGAACGGAAGUCUUGACGGAGCAACGCCGCUGGAGUGUAUGAAGGCUUUCGGCUCGUUCAACUCUGUGGUAAGGAAAGAACAAAUUGCUAGCUGAAUAAGCUGGCACUUGACGGUCACUUACCAGAAAGCCACGGCUAAUACGUGCCAGCAGCCGUGGUAAUACGUAGGUGGCAAACAUUUAUCCCGAAUUAUUGGGCGUAAAGCGCGCGCAGGUGGUUUCUUAAGUGUGAUGUGACAGCCCCCGGCUCAACCGCGGAGGGUCAUUGGAAACUGGGAGACUUGAGUGCAGAAGAGGAAAGUGGAAUUCCAUGUGUAGCGGUGAAAUGCGUAGAGAUAUGGAGGAACACCAGUGGCGAAGGCGCCUUUCUGGUCUGUAACUGACAAUGAGGCGCGAAAGCGUGGGGAGCAAACAGGAUUAGAUAUCCUGGUAGUCCACGCCGUAAACGAUGAGUGCUAAGUGUUAGAGGGUUUCCGCCCUUUAGUGCUGAAGUUAACGCAUUAAGCACUCCCCUCUGGGGAGUACGCCCGCAAGGUUGAAACUCAAAGGAAUUGACGGGGGCCCGCACAAGCGGUGGAGCAUGUGGUUUAAUUCGAAGCAACGCGAAGAACCUUACCAGGUCUUGACAUCCUUUGAAAACCCUAGAGAUAGGGCUUCUCCUUCGGGAGCAGAGUGACAGGUGGUGCAUGGUUGUCGUCAGCUCGUGUCGUGAGAUGUUGGGUUAAGUCCCGCAACGAGCGCAACCCUUGAUCUUUGUUGCCAUCAUUCAGUUGGGCACUUUAAGGUGACUGCCGGUGACAAACCGGAGGAAGGUGGGGACGAUGUCAAAUCAUCAUGCCCCUUAUGACCUUGGGUACACACGUGUUACAAUGGACGGUACAAAGAGCUGCAAGACCGCGAGGUGGAGCUAAUCUCAUAAAACCGUUCUCAGUUCGGAUUGUAGGAUGCAACUCGCCUACAUGAAGCUGGAAUCGCUAGUAAUCGCGGAUCAGCAUGCCGCGGUGAAUACGUUCCCGGGCCUUGUACACACCGCCCGUCACACCACGAGAGUUUGUAACCCCCGAAGUCGGUGGGGUAACCUUCUGGAGCCCACCCGCCUAAUGUUUGGCCCCCC
RNAcentral lists this ribosomal RNA (1131 nucleotides) under Bacillus cereus. RNAcentral's name for it is "bacterial SSU rRNA". It matches the Rfam family "Bacterial small subunit ribosomal RNA", at positions 356 to 1473 of the family's 1533-position model. Lineage: Bacteria; Bacillati; Bacillota; Bacilli; Caryophanales; Bacillaceae. The record is from RNAcentral.